RNAcentral lists this ribosomal RNA (392 nucleotides) under uncultured bacterium. RNAcentral describes it as "partial 16S ribosomal RNA". It matches the Rfam family "Bacterial small subunit ribosomal RNA", at positions 523 to 918 of the family's 1533-position model. The record is from RNAcentral.
AUACGGAGGAUCCGAGCGUUAUCCGGAUUUAUUGGGUUUAAAGGGUGCGCAGGCGGCCAUUUAAGUCAGCGGUUAAAUCGUGGGGCUCAACCCCAUUCUGCCGUUGAUACUGGGUGGCUUGAUUGCGGUCGAGGUUGGCGGAAUUCGUUGUGUAGCGGUGAAAUGCAUAGAUAUGACGAAGAACACCGAUUGCGUAGGCAGCUGACCAGACCGCAAAUGACGCUCAUGCACGAAAGUGCGGGGGUCGAACAGGAUUAGAUACCCUGGUAGUCCGCACAGUAAACGAUGAAUACUUGUUUUCGGCGAUAUAGUGUCGGAGGCAAAGCGAAAGCGAUAAGUAUUCCACCUGGGGAGUACGCCGGCAACGGUGAAACUCAAAGGAAUUGACGGGG